AUACGUAGGUGGCAAGCGUUGUCCGGAUUUAUUGGGCGUAAAGCGAGCGCAGGCGGUUUCUUAAGUCUGAUGUGAAAGCCCCCGGCUCAACCGGGGAGGGUCAUUGGAAACUGGGAGACUUGAGUGCAGAAGAGGAGAGUGGAAUUCCAUGUGUAGCGGUGAAAUGCGUAGAUAUAUGGAGGAACACCAGUGGCGAAGGCGACUCUCUGGUCUGUAACUGACGCUGAGGCUCGAAAGCGUGGGGAGCAAACAGGAUUAGAUCCCCUGGUAGUCCACGCCGUAAACGAUGAGUGCUAAGUGUUGGAGGGUUUCCGCCCUUCAGUGCUGCAGCUAACGCAUUAAGCACUCCGCCUGGGGAGUACGACCGCAAGGUUGAAACUCAAAGGAAUUGACGGGG
RNAcentral lists this ribosomal RNA (397 nucleotides) under uncultured bacterium. RNAcentral describes it as "partial 16S ribosomal RNA". It matches the Rfam family "Bacterial small subunit ribosomal RNA", at positions 523 to 918 of the family's 1533-position model. The record is from RNAcentral.